This 316-nucleotide ribosomal RNA is filed under the name uncultured Pseudomonadota bacterium. Its description in RNAcentral is "bacterial SSU rRNA". It matches the Rfam family "Bacterial small subunit ribosomal RNA", at positions 30 to 351 of the family's 1533-position model. The record is from RNAcentral. Lineage: Bacteria; Pseudomonadati; Pseudomonadota.
AUUGAACGCUGGCGGUAUGCUUAACACAUGCAAGUCGAACGUGAAAGGGGGCAACCCCAAGUAAAGUGGCGGACUGGUGAGUAAUACGUAGGAAUCUACCUUAGAGUGGGGGAUAACCCGGGGAAACUCGGGCUAAUACCGCAUAGUCUCUAUGGAGUAAAGGUGGCUAGCAAUAGCUAUCGCUCUAAGAUGAGCUUACGCCGGAUUAGCUAGUUGGUAGGGUAAAGGCCUACCAAGGCUACGAUCCGUAGCUGGUCUGAGAGGACGACCAGCCACACUGGGACUGAGAUACGGCCCAGACUCCUACGGGAGGCAG